AGCUAUAUGUUUUAUAUGGAUUAACAUGGAUAUCAUUUUUACAAGGCAUGAUCAUUAGUACUUCAAAGUCUUGGUUACACCAAAUUUAGUUUUCAAAAGACCCUUUCAAAAAAAGCACUUGAUAUUAGAAGUGUGAGUGUAGUAUAUACAGCAGGAAAUGUAUCUUUCAAACCAGUCAUAUUGCACACUUUGUACAUCAUUUGAUUAGUAUCUUCAGCUCUAUAAAU
Non-coding RNA from Cinara cedri, 227 nucleotides. The record is from the annotation of a GenBank genome assembly. NCBI's taxonomy places the organism in Eukaryota, Metazoa, Arthropoda, Insecta, Hemiptera, Aphididae.